UACAGAGGGUGCGAGCGUUGUCCGGAAUUACUGGGCGUAAAGGGCGCGUAGGCGGCCUGAUAAGUCGGGGGUGAAAGUCAGCGGCUCAACCGCUGGACUGCCUUCGAGACUGUCGGGCUUGAGCAUGGUAGAGGCUGGCGGAAUUCCCGGUGUAGCGGUGGAAUGCGUAGAGAUCGGGAAGAACAUCGGUGGCGAAGGCGGCCAGCUGGGCCAUUGCUGACGCUGAGGCGCGACAGCGUGGGGAGCAAACAGG
RNAcentral lists this ribosomal RNA (253 nucleotides) under uncultured bacterium. Its description in RNAcentral is "partial 16S ribosomal RNA". It matches the Rfam family "Bacterial small subunit ribosomal RNA", at positions 524 to 776 of the family's 1533-position model. The record is from RNAcentral.